ACUGUACUUCCUCCGUCCAAAAAUUCUUGUCUUAAAUUUGUCUAAAUACGAAUGUAUGAAGUCAUGUUUUAGUAUUAGGUACAUCCAUAUCUAGACAAAUCCAAGACAGGAAUUUUGAGACGGAGGGAGUACAUA
Triticum aestivum (bread wheat) is the source of this 135-nucleotide non-coding RNA. Lineage: Eukaryota; Viridiplantae; Streptophyta; Magnoliopsida; Poales; Poaceae. The record is from Rfam.